UCAGGAUGAACGCUAGCGGCAGGCCUAAUACAUGCAAGUCGAACGAGAUUAUCCCAGCUUGCUGGAUUUGAAAGUGGCGCACGGGUGCGUAACGCGUAUGCAACCUACCUUUAUCAGGGGGAUAGCCCGGAGAAAUCCGGAUUAAUACCGCAUAAAAUCACAGGAUGGCAUUAUCCAAUGAUCAAACAUUUAUGGGAUAAAGAUGGGCAUGCGUGUCAUUAGCUAGUUGGCGGGGUAACGGCCCACCAAGGCGACGAUGACUAGGGGAUCUGAGAGGAUGACCCCCCACACUGGUACUGAGACACGGACCAGACUCCUACGGGAGGCAGCAGUAAGGAAUAUUGGUCAAUGGAGGCAACUCUGAACCAGCCAUGCCGCGUGCAGGAAGACUGCCCUAUGGGUUGUAAACUGCUUUUAUCCGGGAAUAAACCUCUUUACGAGUAGAGAGCUGAAUGUACCGGAAGAAUAAGGAUCGGCUAACUCCGUGC
This 488-nucleotide ribosomal RNA is filed under the name Pedobacter sp. RNAcentral describes it as "bacterial SSU rRNA". It matches the Rfam family "Bacterial small subunit ribosomal RNA", at positions 24 to 508 of the family's 1533-position model. Lineage: Bacteria; Pseudomonadati; Bacteroidota; Sphingobacteriia; Sphingobacteriales; Sphingobacteriaceae. The record is from RNAcentral.